GGGGGCGACUGGUUUCGACAUGGUAGGUCUGACGUGAGGAGCAGGCCGUGGUCUCCUCGCCACGCUAAACAGGGGUACAGUCAAAUUAAUUGGCGAAAAGAACUACUCUGGGCGUUACGCCCUCGCUGCUUAAUUAAUUAGCGGCCGUCAACCUCGGAUCUUCCCCGCUCCGAGUGCGACGUCAUUUCAGGGGAAUGCUCUUGCGCAUGUAGCCGGUAUGGCGCAAGCUAAGAUCAAACCGACUCGAAUCGGCAACGUCUGUCAACGAACCGAGCCGCUUUUAAAUCCGAUCGCUGAAUAAGCUUGUAGAGCCUGACCGAGGAUCUAGUAUGGACCGGAGUUCGAUUCUCCGCGCCUCCACCA
This is a non-coding RNA of Coriobacteriaceae bacterium, 363 nucleotides long. It matches the Rfam family "transfer-messenger RNA". Rfam says of the family: Bacterial tmRNA, also known as 10Sa RNA or SsrA, is named for its dual tRNA and mRNA-like properties. Its role is to liberate the mRNA from a stalled ribosome. The record is from Rfam. Lineage: Bacteria; Bacillati; Actinomycetota; Coriobacteriia; Coriobacteriales; Coriobacteriaceae.